GCGGGGGUUGCCGAGCCUGGACAAAGGCGCGGGAUUCAGGGUCCCGUCCCGAAGGGGUUCGUGGGUUCAAAUCCCACCCCCCGCA
This 85-nucleotide transfer RNA is filed under the name Archaeoglobus profundus. RNAcentral's name for it is "tRNA-Leu". It matches the Rfam family "tRNA". Rfam says of the family: Transfer RNA (tRNA) molecules are approximately 80 nucleotides in length. Their secondary structure includes four short double-helical elements and three loops (D, anti-codon, and T loops). Lineage: Archaea; Methanobacteriati; Methanobacteriota; Archaeoglobi; Archaeoglobales; Archaeoglobaceae. The record is from RNAcentral.